Molecule: long non-coding RNA, 210 nt
Organism: Sinocyclocheilus rhinocerous
Lineage: Eukaryota; Metazoa; Chordata; Actinopteri; Cypriniformes; Cyprinidae
Exons: 3
Source: RefSeq, a predicted model, not a curated record
UCUUCUCAUACUGAAAAACUAACAAGCCAUUGUCCUGCUCAGAUCCAAACCAAACAAGGUGCUUCUGGUAUCAUUUUGGAGUCCAUGACAGGAAUUGAGAGAGAAGUAUCAGCAAGUUUGUCACCUGUCUACUGAUCUUAAUUGGCCAUUGCAUAAGGACCCAUUGAAGAGUUUGACACACGCACAGAGGAAAAGAGAUGUUGGGACCGC